GUCUGCAGCCAUGCCACCCUGAAUAAGACCGAUGUCUGAUCUCGGAAGCUAAGCUUGGUCAGGUCUGGUUAGUACUUGAAUGGGAGACCACCUAGGAAGUCCAGGUGCUGUAGGCA
This 116-nucleotide ribosomal RNA is filed under the name Pteropus alecto (black flying fox). Lineage: Eukaryota; Metazoa; Chordata; Mammalia; Chiroptera; Pteropodidae. The record is from RNAcentral.